CAUCUUUAAUAGGUUUAAAGGGUACCUAGACGGUAAAUCAAGCCUACCAUUAAAAUAAAAUAAAUGUAGGGACUAAUAUACUAGAGUUACUUAUGAGGGGGUUUAAAAGUACUGCUGGUGUAGAGAUGAAAUUCUGUCAUACCUCUUUUCAAUAGAAAAAUCACGGCACAGGUAUAGGCGAAAGCAUCCCCUUAUGUGAUAACUGACGUUGAGGGACGAAGGCUUUGUGUAGCGAACAGGAUUAGAUACCCUAGUAGUCAAAGCAGAAAAAUGAUGAAUGUCAUAGAUUAGACGUAUAAGUUUAUUCUAUAAAUGAAAAGUGUAAGCAUUCCACCUCAAGAGUAAUUUGGCAACAUUGGAACUGAAAUCAUUAGACCGUUUCUGAAACCAGUAGUGAAGUAUGUUGUUUAAUUUGAUGGUCCGCAAAAAACCUUACCACAAUUUGAAUAUUUAUAUUUUUUUUAUUGUUUUCUUAUUAAUUUUAUUUCUUUUCUGCAGUUUUAUCUUGUUUUUAUUUUACUUCUUUUUCAGAUUUUUCAUAUUUCUUGUAGAAGAAUAAAUAAGAAUAAUAAUCAGAAUAUGAUAAGAUCAGAAAAUCAGAAAAUUAAUGAGGGGGCAAUAAAGUAUAUUUACAAGCGCUGCACGGCUGUCUUCAGUUAAUGUCGCGAGACUAUGGUUAGUUCCAUUAAUUAACGUAAACCCUUACUUUAUUUUUAUAUAGAGUAGUUCCCCACUAUAUUGGAUAUGAUAACAGGGACUAAGACAAGUCAUCAUGGCCUAAAUAUUGUGGGCUAUAGACGUGCCACAUAAGCCUUACAAAAAGGGUG
This 827-nucleotide ribosomal RNA is filed under the name Platismatia glauca. RNAcentral's name for it is "SSU rRNA". It matches the Rfam family "Bacterial small subunit ribosomal RNA", at positions 546 to 1249 of the family's 1533-position model. The record is from RNAcentral. Lineage: Eukaryota; Fungi; Ascomycota; Lecanoromycetes; Lecanorales; Parmeliaceae.